RNAcentral lists this ribosomal RNA (440 nucleotides) under uncultured Psychrobacter sp. RNAcentral describes it as "bacterial SSU rRNA". It matches the Rfam family "Bacterial small subunit ribosomal RNA", at positions 358 to 790 of the family's 1533-position model. Lineage: Bacteria; Pseudomonadati; Pseudomonadota; Gammaproteobacteria; Moraxellales; Moraxellaceae. The record is from RNAcentral.
GGAAUAUUGGACAAUGGGGGAAACCCUGAUCCAGCCAUGCCGCGUGUGUGAAGAAGGCCUUUUGGUUGUAAAGCACUUUAAGCAGUGAAGAAGACUCUUCGGUUAAUACCCGGAGACGAUGACAUUAGCUGCAGAAUAAGCACCGGCUAACUCUGUGCCAGCAGCCGCGGUAAUACAGAGGGUGCAAGCGUUAAUCGGAAUUACUGGGCGUAAAGCGAGCGUAGGUGGCUUGAUAAGUCAGAUGUGAAAUCCCCGGGCUUAACCUGGGAACUGCAUCUGAUACUGUCAGGCUAGAGUAGGUGAGAGGAAGGUAGAAUUCCAGGUGUAGCGGUGAAAUGCGUAGAGAUCUGGAGGAAUACCGAUGGCGAAGGCAGCCUUCUGGCAUCAUACUGACACUGAGGCUCGAAAGCGUGGGUAGCAAACAGGAUUAGAUACCCCAG